GUCAGAAUGGCCGAGCGGUCUAAUUCGCCAGAUUUAAUCUCUGGUUCUCGAAAGAGAGCGUGGGUUCGAACCCCACUUCUGACA
Molecule: transfer RNA, 84 nt
Filed under: Araneus ventricosus
Lineage: Eukaryota; Metazoa; Arthropoda; Arachnida; Araneae; Araneidae
Rfam family: tRNA
About the family: Transfer RNA (tRNA) molecules are approximately 80 nucleotides in length. Their secondary structure includes four short double-helical elements and three loops (D, anti-codon, and T loops). Further hydrogen bonds mediate the characteristic L-shaped molecular structure. tRNAs have two regions of fundamental functional importance: the anti-codon, which is responsible for specific mRNA codon recognition, and the 3' end, to which the tRNAs corresponding amino acid is attached (by aminoacyl-tRNA synthetases). tRNAs cope with the degeneracy of the genetic code in two manners: having more than one tRNA (with a specific anti-codon) for a particular amino acid; and 'wobble' base-pairing, i.e. permitting non-standard base-pairing at the 3rd anti-codon position.
Source: Rfam by way of RNAcentral